AUCAUUACCGAGUUGGGGUCUCUGCAAUGAGGCUCAACCUCCUCAAACCCCUUGUCUACCUGACCUCAUUCUGUUGCUUCGGCGGGCCCGUCGGUAAAACGACCGCCGGGAGGCCCUUAAACCAGGCUUUCUGGUCCGCGCCCGUCGACGGCCUUCUAUAUGAAACUCUUGUCAAACAAUCGUGUCUGAAUACAUUAUUGCAAAAUAACCAAAAACUUUCAACAACGGAUCUCUUGGUUCUGGCAUCGAUGAAGAACGCAGCGAAAUGCGAUAAGUAAUGCGAAUUGCAGAAUCCGUGAGUCAUCGAAUCUUUGAACGCAUAUUGCGCCCCUUGGCAUUCCGAAGGGCAUGCCUGUUCGAGCGUCAUUAUCACCCCUCAAGCACACGCUUGGUGUUGGACUCGGUCAUCCCCUUGGGGGGUCGACCGGUCUCAAAGACAGUGACGCCGUCCCAGAAGGAACCGGUACGAGGAGCUUCUAACCGAGCAUGUACACGGUGUGAUUUUGAGGGCGACGGUCUUCCACCCAAAACUUUUAUGUUUUUUCAAGUGUUGACCUCGGAUCAGGUAGGAAUACCCGCUGAACUUAAGCAUAUCAAUAAGCGGAGGAAAAGAAACCAACAGGGAUUGCCUCAGUAACGGCGAGUGAAGCGGCAACAGCUCAAAUUUGAAAUCUGACUUUACGAGUCCGAGUUGUAAUUUGUAGAGGAUGUUUCGGGUACCGCACCGGCUUAAUUUUCUUGGAACAGAAUGUCACAGAGGGUGAGAGUCCCGUCUGGAGCCGCGGUAGGGCCUAUGUGAAACUCCUUCGACGAGUCGAGUUGUUUGGGAAUGCAGCUCAAAAUGGGUGGUAAAUUUCACCUAAAGCUAAAUAUUGGCCAGAGACCGAUAGCGCACAAGUAGAGUGAUCGAAAGAUGAAAAGCACUUUGAAAAGAGAGUUAAACAGUAUGUGAAAUUGUUGAAAGGGAAGCGCUGGCAACCAGACUUGCGGGCGGUGGUUCCCCCUGGCUUUUGCCUGGGCUACUCCAUCGUCUCCAGGCCAACAUCGGUUUAGGCGGUCGGUUAAAGGCCUUGGGAAUGUAUCUUCCCCCGGGAAGACUUAUAGCCCAGGGUGUCAUGCGACCUGUCCGGACCGAGGAAACGCG
This 1144-nucleotide ribosomal RNA is filed under the name uncultured fungus. RNAcentral's name for it is "eukaryotic LSU rRNA". The stretch from base 552 to 1144 matches the Rfam family "Eukaryotic large subunit ribosomal RNA", at positions 1 to 601 of the family's 3401-position model. Lineage: Eukaryota; Fungi. The record is from RNAcentral.